UACGAAGGGGGCUAGCGUUGCUCGGAAUCACUGGGCGUAAAGGGUGCGUAGGCGGGUUUUUAAGUCAGAGGUGAAAUCCUGGAGCUCAACUCCAGAACUGCCUUUGAUACUGAAAGUCUUUGAGUAUGGGGAGAGGUGAGUGGAACUGCGAGUGUAGAGGUGAAAAUUCGUAGAUAUUUCGCAAGAACACCAGUGGCGAAGGCGCUCACU
Molecule: ribosomal RNA, 210 nt
Filed under: uncultured bacterium
Lineage: Bacteria
Description: partial 16S ribosomal RNA
Rfam family: Bacterial small subunit ribosomal RNA
Source: RNAcentral